Molecule: ribosomal RNA, 306 nt
Filed under: uncultured bacterium
Lineage: Bacteria
Description: bacterial SSU rRNA
Rfam family: Bacterial small subunit ribosomal RNA
Source: RNAcentral
GAUGAACGUUGGCGGCGUGCCUAACACAUGCAAGUCGAACGGGAAGCUAGACUUCGGUUUAGUGGAGAGUGGCGCACGGGUGAGUAACACGUAACUGAUCUGCCCUAGAGAGCGGGAUAACCUUUGGAAACAGAGGCUAAUACCGCAUAAGCUCACACUGUUUAGAAAGGUGUGAGAAAAACUGAGGUGCUUUAGGAUGAGGUUGCGUCCCAUCAGCUAGUUGGUGUGGUAAAGGCGCACCAAGGCGACGACGGGUAGGGGACCUGAGAGGGUGACCCCCCACACUGGAACUGAGACACGGUCCAG